RNAcentral lists this ribosomal RNA (253 nucleotides) under uncultured bacterium. RNAcentral's name for it is "partial 16S ribosomal RNA". It matches the Rfam family "Bacterial small subunit ribosomal RNA", at positions 524 to 776 of the family's 1533-position model. The record is from RNAcentral.
UACGUAGGGUGCGAGCGUUAAUCGGAAUUACUGGGCGUAAAGCGUGCGCAGGCGGUUUUGUAAGCCAGAUGUGAAAUCCCCGGGCUUAACCUGGGAACUGCAUUUGUGACUGCACAGCUGGAGUGCGGCAGAGGGGGAUGGAAUUCCGCGUGUAGCAGUGAAAUGCGUAGAUAUGCGGAGGAACACCGAUGGCGAAGGCAAUCCCCUGGGCCUGCACUGACGCUCAUGCACGAAAGCGUGGGGAGCAAACAGG